AUUGAACGCUGGCGGCAGGCCUAACACAUGCAAGUCGAGCGGAUGAAGGGAGCUUGCUCCUGGAUUCAGCGGCGGACGGGUGAGUAAUGCCUAGGAAUCUGCCUGGUAGUGGGGGAUGACGUCCGGAAACGGGCGCUAAUACCGCCUACGUCCUGCGGGAGAAAGUGGGGGAGCUUCGGACCUCACGCUCUCAGAUGAGCCUAGGCCGGAUUAGCUAGUUGGUGGGGUAAGGGCCUUCCAAGGCGACGAUCCGUAACUGGUCUGAGAGGAUGAUCAGUCACACUGGAAGGGAGACACGGUCCAGACUCCUACGGGAGGCAGCAGUGGGGAAUAUGGGACAGUGGGCGAAAGCCUGGUCCAGCCAUGCCGCGUGUGUGAAGAAGGUCUUCGGAUUGUAAAGCACGUUAAGUUGGGAGGAAGCGCAGUAAGUUGAUACCUUGCUGUAUUGACGGUACCAACAGAAGAAGCACCGGCUAACUUCGUG
RNAcentral lists this ribosomal RNA (484 nucleotides) under uncultured bacterium. RNAcentral's name for it is "partial 16S ribosomal RNA". It matches the Rfam family "Bacterial small subunit ribosomal RNA", at positions 30 to 507 of the family's 1533-position model. The record is from RNAcentral.